AUGAAAUGAUUAGUUUUCAAAUUAUUUUAUUUUAAAUCAAAUUCUGACAUAGAUAUAUUUCAGCUUUUUGUUCAAAUUUUUAUUGUGAAAUCGCUGCAGUGAUGACCCCAUUGAUGAGAGUGUCCUAGCUGUCUGUGGAGUUGAAGACUUCAGCUUUAAGAUUGAAGACACUGUUGACAAUAGCAGUACUUAUGUGAUACCUCCUUCGUGUUCAACUUUGAGGACAUGGGAGGCAAACAAUCCCAAUUAAUUUGUUGGUGGCUUGGGAGAUAUAACUCCCCAAGCUAAGCUGUGAAACUUGUGCAACUACCAAACAUAAUUUUAAAAACCUGUUAAUUAUCUUGGAUCAGACCAGCUAAAACAUUGAGGAGCUACAUUCCAACACAUCAACAAGGUGAACCUUUAACAUUUUGAACGGGAAAGUACUGCAGUAUUCAACGAUAUCGAGGUAGAAUUCUUACUGUGAAUAUCAAAUAGGAAAAGCAGAUUUUGUUAUUAAUUCAUUAGUUUCUUCAAAAGUAUGUAUCAAUUCUAGUUUAAAAAUCUUAAUCAGAAAACUAUUUAUGAACAUAGUAGCACAAAAACAAAUUACAAAUGACCAGAAGAUAUUUUGGAAGCAGCUGAAUAUGAUUUGUUUAGUAAUAAGUGCCUAUAAUGUAGCAUUGUCUUUGAAACUUUGUAUUUUAUGUUACACUUAAAUAUAACCUGAAAUAUUAAACCCAUCUCCCCAAUACUCCCAACACUUCAAGAGCUGCCUCAUGCUGAAUUCAAACUUAAGUCCCUCCUACUGUAACAUAGACAUAAAGCCCAAACUUAAUCUCUCAUAGACUUACAUUGAGUCCUUAGCUCAAUAUUAGGCUUCCAUAAACUAACCAUAAAGGAUUAUACUCAAACGUGGUCACCAAUAGACUUAACAUGGGGACAAUAGCUCAAACUUAACCUCCAGUUGACUAAACAUAGACACUUAAGCUCAGACUUAAGUUUCCUAUAGAUUUAACAUAGAGUUUUAAGCUCAAACUUGGUCUCCCAUAGACUUAAUUUGAGACUUAACUCAAACUGUGUCUCCGAUAGACUUUACAGAAAGACAAAAGCUCAAACUUAACCUCCCAUAUACUGAACAUAGGGGCUUACUCAAAAACCUAAUCUCCGAAGACAUAAGAUAGAGACUUAAGCUCAAACUCAGCUUCAAAUUGACUCGAAAUUGGGUGAUAACCUGCAGUACAGCUAUACAUGUAUGAAUUGCUUAGAAAUGAGAGCUUUUUGUAGCAGUUCUCCUAUGGCUUUAUAUGGUGUACUUGCUGUAUCAAUAGUGCUUGUACAAUCUUGCUUAUUUUUUAGAAAAUUGAUAUUUAUAAUAUUUUGUUAUCGUGAUGUAAGACAUGGUAUUGAUAAUGUAGUAGUGUAUAGCAAGAUGUCUUCACAAUGUGUUUAUCUUUGCAUGUUCACAGUUUCUGCAUAGUCACAAUUUUUUUAAAUUGUCAAAAUUUCUAACUACAAAAUCAUUUGCAAAUUUAAAACGUUAAAAAAUGUGAUGAUGAAUGUAUCAUGUAUAUAAAUUAUAAUAAUUGUG
Molecule: long non-coding RNA, 1570 nt
Filed under: Mizuhopecten yessoensis (Yesso scallop)
Lineage: Eukaryota; Metazoa; Mollusca; Bivalvia; Pectinida; Pectinidae
Description: uncharacterized LOC110455763
Source: RNAcentral